RNAcentral lists this ribosomal RNA (449 nucleotides) under uncultured bacterium. RNAcentral's name for it is "partial 16S ribosomal RNA". It matches the Rfam family "Bacterial small subunit ribosomal RNA", at positions 29 to 523 of the family's 1533-position model. The record is from RNAcentral.
AGCGAACGCUGGCGGCAGGCUUAACACAUGCAAGUCGAGCGGGCCCUUCGGGGUCAGCGGCGGACGGGUGAGUAACGCGUGGGAACGUGCCCUCUGGUUCGGAAUAACUCAGGGAAACUUGAGCUAAUACCGGAUACGCCCUUUUGGGGAAAGGCUUGCUGCCGGAGGAUCGGCCCGCGUCUGAUUAGCUAGUUGGUGGGGUAACGGCCUACCAAGGCGACGAUCAGUAGCUAGUCUGAGCGGAUGAUCAGCCACACUGGGACUGAGACACGGCCCAGACUCCUACGGGAGGCAGCAGUGGGGAAUAUUGGACAAUGGGGGCAACCCUGAUCCAGCCAUGCCGCGUGAGUGAUGAAGGCCUUAGGGUUGUAAAGCUCUUUUAUCCGGGACGAUAAUGACGGUACCGGAGGAAUAAGCCCCGGCUAACUUCGUGCCAGCAGCCGCCGUAA